UGGGGAAUUUUGGACAAUGGGCGAAAGCCUGAUCCAGCAAUGCCGCGUGUGUGAAGAAGGCCUUCGGGUUGUAAAGCACUUUUGUCCGGAAAGAAAUCCUUGGCUCUAGUACAGUCGGGGGAUGACGGUACCGGAAGAAUAAGCACCGGCUAACUACGUGCCAGCAGCCGCGGUAAUACGUAGGGUGCAAGCGUUAAUCGGAAUUACUGGGCGUAAAGCGUGCGCAGGCGGUUUGCUAAGACCGAUGUGAAAUCCCCGGGCUCAACCUGGGAACUGCAUUGGUGACUGGCAGGCUAGAGUAUGGCAGAGGGGGUAGAAUUCCACGUGUAGCAGUGAAAUGCGUAGAGAUGUGGAGGAAUACCGAUGGCGAAGGCAGCCCCCUGGGCCAAUACUGACGCUCAUGCACGAAAGCGUGGGGAGCAAACAGGAUUAGAUACCCUGGUAGUCCACGCCCUAAACGAUGUCAACUAGUUGUUGGGGACUUCAUUUCCUUAGUAACGUAGCUAACGCGUGAAGUUGACCGCCUGGGGAGUACGGUCGCAAGAUUAAAACUCAAAGGAAUUGACGGGGU
RNAcentral lists this ribosomal RNA (571 nucleotides) under uncultured bacterium. RNAcentral describes it as "partial 16S ribosomal RNA". It matches the Rfam family "Bacterial small subunit ribosomal RNA", at positions 355 to 919 of the family's 1533-position model. The record is from RNAcentral.